This is a long non-coding RNA of Canis lupus familiaris (dog), 880 nucleotides long. RefSeq lists it as uncharacterized. The record is from RefSeq and is a predicted model, not a curated record. The transcript is spliced from 2 exons. Lineage: Eukaryota; Metazoa; Chordata; Mammalia; Carnivora; Canidae.
CCCCGCCUGCGCCCCAGCCCUCCUUUCGCGGGUGCCGCUCCUACUGGGUCGGGCUCCCCGGAAGGCUUCACUUUACCUCACCCGCCUCUUUCCUUUUCACCGCUGAUGUGAUUUUCAUGCUAGUCUCAUUUUUCCGACAAAAAGGGACAAAACAAAGUUUCAAGGGUGCUGUUAAUCGCAGAAAGUCCGCAUCCUCCGUCUUCUGCCAUAAGCCGUGAGUCACGUGUGCAGCCUCCUGCCGGGGCCCUCGGGACGUGCCCACACAGAGCCUGGGGGGAAGGGACCCCUGCCUCUCCAAAGCCGCGAUCCCAGCUCCCGGGGCGCAGGCGGCGGGCUGGGCCCUGCGGCCCCGGGGAGAGCCCGGCCCGCCAGGCGAUUUCGCACUGGGAGCAAGAGCAAAAUUAGUGAAGCAACACAGCGUUGCACGGUGACGGCCGGGGCUCUUCGGACGGGCCCUCUGACCCCCCAGGGACAGAUCUCAGACUUCCACCCCUGUGGUUUUCAUCCCUAUUUUCUCUCUCUUCGAGAUUAUGAUGUUUAGUGCUCUCAACUACGCCAGGAGACCUUCUCAGAAAAAAAUAUCUUCAAUAAAUCUAAUACAUCAGUGACUGAAUUCAAUUGCCAAAGUUCACCGUCUUAUUCCAGUUCACGAAACAGACACCUUCUUCUCCAACCUAACCCAGGGAGCUUGCAAGGGUCAAAGAACAGCCCAGAACACAAGGCAUCAAUUCAAGCAGUUCAAGAAUUCAGUUCAUUGCAGACGAGAAGGAUAGAUGAUGAUAUGCAGGUUGUGAAACUAGUUCUUUAGUGCUUUGGGGUUGUUUUUUUGUUUGUUUGUUUGUUUGUUUUAAUAAAAUUGGCACUUAGGCGUCUUAUUUUA